AGACAUCGGUCCGACUGUGGGUAAUCACCAAAGAUAAAUGGGUACACGGUGGUUUUAAAAUAAACUAUUUUAAGAAAAAUCUAAUAACUCACUGCAUCUCGGUAAAUCUGAAGCUUUGCUGCUAUCUCCUCUGGUAAAGUUCUCAAACUCUGCUUUUUAUAUUACUAGAGCUUCAGAAAUUAAGCAUCACGUAGAUCAAAGUACUAAACCGUACAAAUCAUGCUUAAAGGAAACAGUUCAUAAAACUUAUCCAAAUAAACUCAUUUAUAAAAGCUUAUUUAUAUAAAAUCAAUAUAAAAUUAUUUAAGUAAACUUGUUUAUAUAAAUCAUUUAUAUAAAAUCAUUCAUGAAAGAAAGUCCACUCACUGAUGGUCCGAGCUAACUGGACCCUUUGAAGGUCCCUCCUGCGGGUCGCUUGGACCUCUGGUGCCUGAUUAACCAUGAAUAGUAAAUCAAUAAACUACUGAAUAAAAAGAAUUUAAAUUAAACACCCUGCCCCCGGCUCCUAGAAGUACGUGCACUCGUUUCAAGUUACUCCUAUGUCUACAUUAGCUUUUUAGGCUCUUAGAUCAGUUUUGGAAGACCCGAUGCUUAACUAAGCGAUAAACCACCAGACCAGCCGAUCCGGGACCCCGUGGGUCCACGGUCUCCGAUGGCCAAUCUGGGCUUCUCUAAAGGUUCCUCAUAAAGAAGGAACCAUGUUCCGCGAAUUCGGUCUGAAACGGACGGUCGGAUUGGCCAGAAUCGCGUUAUCGCUUAAAAUCGAAACCCUAGCCCCAGGGUUCGCGAUUUCGGAGUAUCCGGGACUCCGAUUCACAAUCCGUCGAAUCCUACACGAUCCUGAAAUCAUGUAGACCGACAUAUCCAAAAUUCAGUGCGAUCCGACGAUUAGACGACAUUGCACCCAAGGAUCGUGCGAUAUGGAAAAUCCGUUCGGGGCUCAAACGGACUCCGAAUCGAGAUCCGCGAAAUCCUACGCGCUCGUGACUACACGAGGAUCUCAAAACUGCCCAGAGUUACUCCACCACCCUUGCCCACGCGCCGCCACACGCGCGGGCAGAUUGGGUGUCCAAAGCGAUUAUGGGUUGCCGGAAAAAAACUCGGAACCAAGACUCCAAACUCCUAUCCUAGGUAAAACACCCCAUUUGGAGUCACUUUUGUUCUUGGACAUACCCCAAAAAGUGGCCGAAAAUGGCCGAUCACGGCGGCCGAAGUUCGACCAAUUUUCAAGUUGAAAAUCGAGUGAUCUAGAGGUGAAAUCGAUCAAAACCCAGCCAACCAUCAGUUAGAGCACGAAAAAUAGCUGAGAAUCCAUACCUUACUCGAACGAUUUGGUUGAGAAACGAAGGAGAACGAAGGAGAUGAAGUUCGGGUGAAAACCGCCGAUUCUUGUCCAGUUUCCGGCGAGCUCCGGCCGGUGCAGGUGCGGCGACGGGUCGGGGCGUGACGGCGGCGACAAGACGAAGCUGGUGGUACCAACAUCGGAGAUCGGCGUGCCCUGUGGUGGCGACGGGAGGCGCUGGAAGGGAGGAGGGCGCACGGCUUGCGCGCGACGGGAGGAGAGAGAAA
Molecule: long non-coding RNA, 1569 nt
Filed under: Prunus persica (peach)
Lineage: Eukaryota; Viridiplantae; Streptophyta; Magnoliopsida; Rosales; Rosaceae
Description: long non-coding RNA (PPER_LNC008209)
Source: RNAcentral